CGCUCGCGCGCUGGGGAAGGCCCAAGGCGACUCCCGGACUCUCCGCAAGAACCAGCUCUAGCGCGGAGCUGGAGGCCCUGCGUGCCUCCUUGUCCAUCGAGCUGGCCGGUGGCCUGAGCUAGGGGCUUGCUCUCGACAGCUCGGCGGACACCAUGUUGGGGGCUCCUGGACAGGAGGAGGGAGACAAAAUGACAUAUGUGACCAGCUUGUUUUUAGACAGCUGUGGCAGAGAUUUGACUAGAUUCAGGUGGAGCCUCCAGAAAGGAGACUUCCCCAGGUGGGGCUUGUCCCAGAGGCAGGGUGCUCUCAUCACUGGGUCUGAUUGGUGAUAGGGUGACUGCCCUCCUUCCUCUGCAAUAAACAAUUUGUGAUUGUUUUUUGGAUCUGCAAUAAUGUGUAUUCCCAGGAGGCUUUCACGGGGGAUUGGGGCUUCCAUCGAGGAUUCUGGCCAGAAUCAUGCCCAUGAGGAAUUGAAAGCUGCGACCACCCACUCUGCCCUGACUGCCUGGCGCUCCUUCUUUUACCCUCUUCCUUUUCUUCUCUGAAUCUUACCAAAGACCAUUAAAAAAUCAAAUGGGCCAUGAUGUCUUCUGAUGACUGUCCUACCUCCCUGGAAGCCCCUUAAGGCAGGUCUGUGUCCUCUGGAGCACUUGCCUAUUUUAUGACACAG
Molecule: long non-coding RNA, 670 nt
Filed under: Ictidomys tridecemlineatus (thirteen-lined ground squirrel)
Lineage: Eukaryota; Metazoa; Chordata; Mammalia; Rodentia; Sciuridae
Description: lncRNA (ENSSTOG00000030280.1)
Source: RNAcentral